UACACAUUACAUGAAACACGAAAAAGAACACUCGAUCAAACCAUACAGAGUAGUUUUUUUUUUUUUUUUCAGAACAUAAAAAAAAAAAAAAAAACUUGGUUUAGUGUUUGGCAGCAUACUGGUUGAUGAGAGAGAGGGCAUUGCUGGUGACCUGAGCAACAUUCACCAUUCUGCCCCUGAUGGCGUUCUUGAUCUUGCCGCUGAGCGCCUUUCCGGCGAAGCCGUCGCCGCACGUGCUCUCGUCGGUGAGCGCAGAGCUCACCCACGUCUCCACGUUGCUGAUGUGCCAGGCGAAGUCCUGACCGUUCCCCUUGCAGAGCUUCAGCUCCUUCAACGACCGAGAGAGGCGGUCGACGCUGUCGCUGAUUUCCUCCGCGCAGUCUUUGAGGGCGGCGUACUCCCGUGGCUUGAGACCCCUGAACUUGUUGCACUUGGCCACGAAGGUUUUGGUAGACUCGGUUCGGUUGAGGGCCAGGGAGAGAGCCGUCUGGACGAGCUGGUGUGGGUCCUGCUGGAUGGCGGCGGCGUACACCGAGAGCGACUCCACGCAGAGGGCGGGGUACUGGGUGGCGCUGCAGGAGGAUUUUAUGAAGUUGGUGGGGUUGGAGGCAGCGAAGCAACUCUGGAGGGUGCAGAGAACAAGGAGAAGAAGAAUCUCAAAGUUGGCCAUUUUUGGUUUGAGAGUUGAGAGUAAAGGGAAAGUUGGAUCUGAAUAUAUAGAGAAGAGAAGAAGAGACUAACAGUCACAAACAGCACAACCUCGUGUCCGUGUUUAUCUUUCUACCCCUGUUUUCGUGUGGGGUAUGGUUAACACAAAUCUAGGGAAUUUUAGCUUUUUUCUGUUUUUAUUAACAAUAAUAAAUGGCUAAUGAUGAAAAUAUGAGUGUGAUGAAGUGGGAGUGGCAGAGGAAGAGACCAAUGUCCACUCUGUUUGGUAACUUCGCAUGUGGGACUCUGUCUUUGUUUUUUAAAGUUUACUUGCUCCUACCGACAUUGUGAACACACUCUGUUACAAAUUCACGUUCACACGGGACUCUCUGUUUUUUUUUCUCUUUUUCUUUUUUGUUUAAGAAAAAUGAUAUUUUAACACUAUUUUUUAACAUUAUUUUGAUAUUGUACACGUGUCAAAAUGUAAUUGGACGAUUUCAAAUUAAAAAAGUUGAAACAGGAGUAUGUUUGAAAGAAAAAAACCAAAGUUUGUUUUUUUAAUUUGAAAUCGUCCAACCACAUUUUGACACGUAUGCAGUGUCAAUAUUAAAAUUUUAUUUUCCUUUAUCUAAUAACGUCAAGUGCCUUGCUGUUAAAAAUUAGAGAUUAAGGUUUUGGUAAAGUAAAGAGUCUUUUGUUUGUAGUUAUGAGAAAUGUACAAGUGUUACGAGGAAUGAUGUUUAUUAUUUACCUGAAUGGUUUUUUAACGAACAAAUGGUCGACAUUAUUUUAAAGUAGCUUUCACACACGCCGCCGUUCUGGCGCUAACUGCACCCAUGUGACACACUAACCCUUUCAUUACUACAACUUGGACUCAUCGAUAUGCGUGCCUGCGUAUCUUAUCUUCUUUAUUUUUAUUAUUAUUUUCUUAUCAUGUUCAAAUCAAAGAAAAUUUCAUUUUUUUUUCAGAUCUUGAUUUUAUUAAUUUUUUUAAUCAUAUUCAAUAAUCUCACAUUUUAAAAAUUAAACUUUUUAUUUAAAUACUUUCUUUUCUUCUCACUUUUCGAAUAACAAGUUUUAAGUUUUAACACAAUAAUAUUUAAGAUAUUUUAAGUUUUAAUCUAGAUAAUAUUUUAAACAUAUCAUGAUUAACUUUAAUAACAUCAUUGACAAAUUUAAGAUUAGAAUUAUAUAAUAUGAUCAUCCAAUCAACUUUGAACCGAGCAAUCAACAAAUUUUUCAUAUGAAUCGGUUGAUAAACUGGUCGAUCAAAUUAUAAAUAGAGUUAACAUAAAGAAUAAUUACAUCAAUUCUAAAUAAGAUUAUUACUGUUUGGGUCGUAAUUAGACAAAUACUAAUUAGAAACUUACUCCAGAAUUUAUAUAUAUAUAUGUUAAAUAUUUAUAUAAUUGAUUACUUUUUCUACACAUUUAUUACUAACAAAUUUGAAUUAACAUUAAUUUUAAUAUCAAAGUAUUUUUUUUCAGAUAAUACUAAACUUUAAUCUAAACUUGAAAACUGAAGACGCUUUGUAGAAACAUACAUAACUUUAACUACAUAAUAACUACCAUGGUAGAAUUAAUAAUGGAAAUAUUUGAUUUCUUAAAUUUUUUUUGUACAAAAUCAUAAUAAAUAAACUUUUAAAACAAAUAAAACUUGGAUUGAUGUUAAUCAUAUCAUUUAAUACAUUUACAAUUAAAACAAAUAAUACUUUAAAUAUACAAAAGAUUGAUCUUAACCAUAUCAUUAAACACGUUUAUAAAGUAUAUAAAGAUUCAUCUUAAUAAUAUCAUUAAAUACAUUUACAAUCAAAACAGCAAUUAAUAUGGUGUGAGAUUUUAGUCAAUAUAUAACUGUUACAGAACUCAAGCUAAGUUUAAGAAAAUGACAAUGGGAUAUUUCCUUCAUUUUCGUAAAACGUGUUUAUGGAAACAACUCUUAAAGAGAAUGAAGUUUAGUCGUCUCGGACUGUUUUUACGUUAAAUAAGGUUACGUAUGGUAUAAGACACAUUAUAUUAAACAAAUGCAUUACCUUAAAACAACAUUAGAAUGUUAUGUCGUGUAAUUAUCAAGGUACUUCAAUUAGAGAUUACAAAAGAAACCAACUUAAUUAUUAUGAAAUUGCCUAUUAAAUAUAAGAGUAUGUUAAUUAUGUUAUAUAAUUUAAGUAGAUAAUUGAAAAUAAAAUAAGUUAUAAAAGCUGGACCAUGUAUUAUAUUUUGUUUUGUGUGAAACGUAUAUGUAAUUGAAUGAUGCAAUGAAAAGCAAAUAUGGGAAAGAAGAAAUGAAUUUGUGAAACGUCCAAAUAAUAUGGGAUGCAUGUGAAAUGUCCAAUUAAUAACUGUCCCUAAAAGUGUGGACACUCUCCCUUUUUUCUUUUCCGAUUCUAACAAUAUAUUCCCCACCACAGACCAAUUAUUCAUAAUAACUAAUAACUAUAUAUACAUAGAAAUGUAAAAAGAAAAAUGCGGAUACGAAUUUUUGCGAAUAAAAUUCACGGUGGAUACUUACUACCUCCGAUUAUUCGUAGAUAAUAGAUAGCGAGUAUUUUAAUAUCUGUUUUUAAACAGGUCGGAUGGGGAUAUUAAAUUAUCUCCUAUGGAUAUCCUCAUAAAAAAUAAUAAGAAAGAUAUUAAUUUUAUUUUUUAAAAUUAAAUUUCAUUAAAAAUAAAAUUAAUUUAUAUUUUAUUAAAUUAAACUUGAAUUUAUAUUUAAUUUAUUUUAUAUUAUAUUAUAUAUAUAUAUAUAUAUAUAUAUAUAUAUAUAUAUAUAUAUAUAUAGUGAAAGUUAUUUAAGAUUUUAUUGUGUUAUACUUAAAAUGUAUUUACAUUUACCAAAAUAUGAUAGCAAAAGUGUACUGUAAUGUUUAACCGUAAGAUUACAUAAUGUAUUUAUGAAUAUGAGAAAAUAUUGAAAUGAUGAAUAUGAUAAGAAUUAUAUAAAAAAAAAUAACAAAAUAUCAAACUAAACUAAACUAAACCUGAAAAAAAUAAUUUAAAAUUUAUUUUCAAUUAAAACUAAACUAAACCUGAAUUUAUUUCAGAUGUUUUUUAAUGAUGCUACAUUGAAUUGAAAGUGUGAGAUGUUGAUCAACUUUAGUGCUCACUGAAAUUUUCAAAGUAUAAUCAUUAUUUCAUUUAAUUUUCUAUAAUAAAUAUGUUAAAAGAAUACGAUCUAGCCAUUUAAAACUUAAAGAAAUGUAGAUAAAUUUUAUAUUGUAAAAUAAAAAGGUACAAUGUAGAUAUAAAUUCACAUUUAUCUAUAUCUACAUACAAAUGGAAUGUUCCUUUUUAGUGUCCAUCUUUGUUUUUCAAAUUUGUCCUUGAAAUAAUUUUUUUUUAAAAUAUUUAAAGCAUAACUUUAAAAUUAAAAUACACAAAUUUAAUUUAAUGUAGCUUCACCAAUAUUUACAAAUAUUCAACAACGAAAAACAUUAUUAUUUAAUAUACAAACCUUUCUAUACAAUUUUCCUAAUUAAGAAUGCAAAUUCUUUUGAAAAAGAAAUUGUAAAUCCUUUUAUAAUGUAUACCUAUCCAAUUCUUAUACUCCAAUAGGUCACACUUAUAUUUCAAUAGGCUUUGUGAUGAUAAUACUCAAACUAACAAAUUAACUUUUUUUUUAUGAAUAAUUUAUUAGAUUGUAUUUUCUUUCAAAUAUUUUGAGAGUUUGUUGAAUAUCAAUUUAAAAAUAAAUCUUAAAAGAAAUUGGUAAUAACUCAACAUGUUUACUAAAUAAUUUUGAAAGACCAAAGAAAGCUACCAUGGUUGGUAGCAAGAUAUUGAUAGUAUAAUGAAAAAGCUAGGUUAUAUAAUUUGUUUCGCUUUUUUGUUUUUUUGUCUUUAACAAACUCGAUGUUUUAAAUAGUUUUAAAAUUAAAUAAAAUAUUGAACCUGCAUCUUGAUGAUUUAAGCAAAAUCAAACUAAAAAAACAUUAACAAUAAAUAAUAGAAGCGAUUACAUAUAUAAUUUGAUUUCGGUUUAUAGUCUAUUUGGGUUGGUUAGAUUUGUCCCGUUCUUGUUUUAAAUAACUAAUUAGUACAGCAUGUGUACUUUUACUUAAAAUUUUAAAUAAGUAACUAAAAUAGAUAUAAAUUUUAAUAAAUACAUCAGUAAAAUAUAAAUAAUUCGAAGUUGAGAACAAAAGAACAAAUUUACAUAAGAUUCGUAUAAAAAAAUUGCAGCGUUAGCAAAGAAAAUUAUUUGGACCAAAAAUAACUAAAGAAAAUUGUUUGGAAACAUAAAGACAAAAGCUUAAAAAAAAAGACAAAAGAAAAUAUCAAUACUAAUAAUGUAUAUACCAUUGAGUAUAAUAAUCUAUUCUAUUAGAAAUUGAAUUAUAAUACCUCCUGUUGGAUUGAAUGGUUAAUAUUAGAUAUUUUUUUUUUACUUAAAAAGUGUAAUGAUUCAAAUAUUAUUAUUCAAUUUUAACGUGAUUUACUAAAUUUUUGAAAUAACUUAUAUACCUCUCAAUAUAUGUUAUUGUAUCGUAUGAUUCUUCGGUUUAUUUUUGUGUAUCAUAUGACCAUUCGACAUAUUAUUGAUUAUUCGCUUAACGUUUUUAAUCACUUCUAACUUGUGUACAUAAAUUGGAUGAAUUCUCGAUAGUCUAAUCGAUAUGACCAUGGUUAAGUACCAACAACAUAAAUCCAACACAUUAUAGGUAAAAGCUUUUUAUUAACUUUUUGACUGUGAUUAUGUCAGUUCUAAUUAAAAGUCUACUUAACAUAUAAAUACAAGGAUAAUGAUAUUUAGACAACAUUUUUUUACAACAUUUGAACAUUGAUUACAUGUCAAUCUGUGAUUGGUCCUAAAUUACUCCAUAAUGGUGUCUAUGAUUAUUAUUAUUGAUUGUGGAGUAAUUUUUGAUCAAUCACAGAUUAACACGUAAUCAAUGUUCAAAUGUUGUCAAGAAAAUGUUGUCUAAAUAUCAUUAUCCUAUAACUAAAAUAAUUUCAGAAAAAAAAAAACCUUAAAAAGAUAAAUUUAAAACAUAAUUUUGAGACUUUAUUUGGUAAAUCUAAUAAUUAUAUAUUACUUAAAAAGUUGAAGUUAAAUAUUUUUUUUUUCUAUUUUAAAACUUUUUUAGAGAUAAAAUUAUAAAAAAGUUUCAAAUUUUAAAACGUUCAAUCUUUUAAACACAAUGAUCGAUGUUAACAAUUUUGAUAACAUAACAAAAGUGAAAUUAUAAUGUAAUGUUUUAUCAGCACAACACUUAACCUAAAAAUCUUAGAAUAGCUUAAAAUUCAUACCUGUCCUCCACCAUAGUUUUUUAAUAGAAAAAACUUGAAAUUUUAUACCCAUAAUGCAAAUUGUACCAUAAAGAUGAAGAGAAAGUAGGUGAGUAGGUAAGAUUAUUUAGUGUGAUUGAACAAUUCAUCAUUUCAGACUAAGUUUCUUCUUUUUUCCUCUUCUUCUGCCGUAUUCAUUGCUCACAUUUUUAGACUUCCAUUUCAUUUUUUUCAUCCAUAAUUUACGCUUCAUCCAUAAUUAACAUUUACAAAUGACACAUUUACUAUAAUAUAAUAUUAAGACAAAUAAUAUACAUAAUUAAAAAAUUUCAAAUUUUUUAUUUUUUAUUUAUAUAGUAUCUUCUCAACUAUAAUUUUGCCUCCAAAAAUAAAUUAAAACCCUAAGUCAUAAAUCUAGAAUCUUCUCACUCUUAUACUUCAAACAAUCUUCUUUCUUUCUUCUGAAUUUUUUUAUAAUAAUUUUUUAUAAUAAUUUUUCACAAAUUCACAGCUAAUGUAAGCGGAACACUGAAUCCGAACGCCGUUCAUCCAUAAUCAACUGAGUUUUACGCGCUGAGAAAGCGUGUUACUUACCAACAUUUCCUUCUGUCCGUAAUUUCCUCUUAUUAAAUUAUUAUUAUUGUUCAAUAAAAUUACAACUAAAAUUGUUUAAAUAAUAAUUAUUAUUUUUUUUACAUUAAUGUGAGAAAACCAGAAAAACAGUAAUGUUCGAUCAAACUCAGUUUUGAUCUUACAAUGUUGUUCAAGCAAAGAAAAUUCAUAUAUCUAUUUAAACUUUUAAACUGACUCACUUGAUUUUACAUACACAUUACAUGAAACACGAAAAAGAACACUCGAUCAAACCAUACAGAGUAGUUUUUUUUUUUUUUUUCAGAACAUAAAAAAAAAAAAAAAAAACUUGGUUUAGUGUUUGGCAGCAUACUGGUUGAUGAGAGAGAGGGCAUUGCUGGUGACCUGAGCAACAUUCACCAUUCUGCCCCUGAUGGCGUUCUUGAUCUUGCCGCUGAGCGCCUUUCCGGCGAAGCCGUCGCCGCACGUGCUCUCGUCGGUGAGCGCAGAGCUCACCCACGUCUCCACGUUGCUGAUGUGCCAGGCGAAGUCCUGACCGUUCCCCUUGCAGAGCUUCAGCUCCUUCAACGACCGAGAGAGGCGGUCGACGCUGUCGCUGAUUUCCUCCGCGCAGUCUUUGAGGGCGGCGUACUCCCGUGGCUUGAGACCCCUGAACUUGUUGCACUUGGCCACGAAGGUUUUGGUAGACUCGGUUCGGUUGAGGGCCAGGGAGAGAGCCGUCUGGACGAGCUGGUGUGGGUCCUGCUGGAUGGCGGCGGCGUACACCGAGAGCGACUCCACGCAGAGGGCGGGGUACUGGGUGGCGCUGCAGGAGGAUUUUAUGAAGUUGGUGGGGUUGGAGGCAGCGAAGCAACUCUGGAGGGUGCAGAGAACAAGGAGAAGAAGAAUCUCAAAGUUGGCCAUUUUUGGUUUGAGAGUUGAGAGUAAAGGGAAAGUUGGAUCUGAAUAUAUAGAGAAGAGAAGAAGAGACUAACAGUCACAAACAGCACAACCUCGUGUCCGUGUUUAUCUUUCUACCCCUGUUUUCGUGUGGGGUAUGGUUAACACAAAUCUAGGGAAUUUUAGCUUUUUUCUGUUUUUAUUAACAAUAAUAAAUGGCUAAUGAUGAAAAUAUGAGUGUG
RNAcentral lists this long non-coding RNA (7588 nucleotides) under Vigna radiata. RNAcentral describes it as "long non-coding RNA (VRAD_LNC004172)". The record is from RNAcentral. Lineage: Eukaryota; Viridiplantae; Streptophyta; Magnoliopsida; Fabales; Fabaceae.